UGAGACAGGUGAGAGACAGGUGAGAGACAGGUGAGGGACAGGUGAGAGACAGGUGAGGGACAGGUGAGGGACAGGUGAGGGACAGGUGAGAGACAGGUGAGGGACAGGUGAGAGACAGGUGAGAGACAGGUGAGAGACAGGUGAGGGACAGGUGAGAGACAGGUGAGGGACAGGUGAGAGACAGGUGAGGGACAGGUGAGAGACAGGUGAGAGACAGGUGAGGGACAGGUGAGGGACAGGUGAGAGACAGGUGAGGGACAGGUGAGAGACAGGGGAGAGACAGGUGAGGGACAGGUGAGAGACAGGGGAGAGACAGGUGAGAGACAGGUGAGAGACAGGUGAGAGACAGGUGAGGGACAGGUGAGAGACAGGUGAGGGACAGGUGAGGGACAGGUGAGAGACAGGUGAGAGACAGGGGAGAGACAGGUGAGGGACAGGUGAGAGACAGGUGAGGGACAGGUGAGGGACAGGUGAGGGACAGGUGAGGGACAGGUGAGGGACAGGUGAGGGACAGGUGAGGGACAGGUGAGGGACAGGUGAGAGACAGGUGAGAGACAGGUGAGAGACAGGGGAGAGACAGGUGAGGGACAGGUGAGGGACAGGGGAGAGACAGGUGAGGGACAGGUGAGAGACAGGGGAGAGACAGGUGAGAGACAGGUGAGAGACAGGUGAGGGACAGGUGAGAGACAGGUGAGAGACAGGUGAGGGACAGGUGAGGGACAGGUGAGAGACAGGUGAGGGACAGGUGAGAGACAGGGGAGGGACAGGUGAGAGACAGGUGAGAGACAGGUGAGAGACAGGUGAGAGACAGGUGAGAGACAGGUGAGAGACAGGUGAGAGACAGGUGAGAGACAGGUGAGAGACAGGUGAGAGACAGGUGAGGGACAGGGGAGAGACAGGUGAGGGACAGGUGAGGGACAGGUGAGAGACAGGUGAGAGACAGGUGAGAGACAGGUGAGAGACAGGUGAGAGACAGGUGAGAGACAGGUGAGAGACAGGUGAGAGACAGGUGAGAGACAGGUGAGGGACAGGUGAGAGACAGGUGAGAGACAGGUGAGGGACAGGUGAGGGACAGGUGAGGGACAGGUGAGAGACAGGUGAGGGACAGGUGAGA
Serinus canaria (Common canary) is the source of this 1114-nucleotide long non-coding RNA. RefSeq lists it as uncharacterized. NCBI's taxonomy places the organism in Eukaryota, Metazoa, Chordata, Aves, Passeriformes, Fringillidae. The transcript has 8 exons. The record is from RefSeq and is a predicted model, not a curated record.